CUGACGGGUAGAUCUCCCACCCACUGUUAUCGUUACCGUCGUUGCUUUGGCGGGCCGCCAGGCCCGCCGGAGGCCCCCCAAACUCUGAAUGUUAGUGUCGUCUGAGUACUAUACAAUAGUUAAAACUUUCAACAACGGAUCUCUUGGUUCUGGCAUCGAUGAAGAACGCAGCGAAAUGCGAUAAGUAAUGCGAAUUGCAGAAUUCAGUGAGUCAUCGAAUCUUUGAACGCACAUUGCGCCCUGUGGUAUUCCGCAGGGCAUGCCUGUUCGAGCGUCAUUUCAACCCUCAAGCUCUGCUUGGUGUUGGGCCACGCCCCCGCGGCCGGCCCCAAAGCCAGUGGCGGUACCGCCCGGCUCUAAGCGUAGUACACCUCUCGCUCUAGAGCCCGGCGGUUCCCUGCCAGAACCUACACUCUUAUGGUUGACCUCGGAU
RNAcentral lists this ribosomal RNA (433 nucleotides) under ectomycorrhizal root tip 240_Ny3.B2-34.3. RNAcentral's name for it is "eukaryotic LSU rRNA". The stretch from base 124 to 277 matches the Rfam family "5.8S ribosomal RNA". Lineage: Eukaryota; Fungi. The record is from RNAcentral.